UACGGAGGGUGCGAGCGUUAAUCGGAAUUACUGGGCGUAAAGCGCGCGUAGGUGGCUUGAUAAGUCGGAUGUGAAAGCCCCGGGCUCAACCUGGGAACUGCAUUCGAUACUGUCUGGCUAGAGUGUGAUAGAGGAAAGCGGAAUUCCCGGUGUAGCGGUGAAAUGCGUAGAUAUCGGGAGGAACAUCAGUGGCGAAGGCGGCUUUCUGGAUUAACACUGACGCUGAGGCGCGAAAGCGUGGGUAGCAAACAGG
RNAcentral lists this ribosomal RNA (253 nucleotides) under uncultured bacterium. RNAcentral's name for it is "partial 16S ribosomal RNA". It matches the Rfam family "Bacterial small subunit ribosomal RNA", at positions 524 to 776 of the family's 1533-position model. The record is from RNAcentral.